Molecule: non-coding RNA, 80 nt
Organism: Peziza echinospora
Lineage: Eukaryota; Fungi; Ascomycota; Pezizomycetes; Pezizales; Pezizaceae
Source: the annotation of a GenBank genome assembly
GGCAUCGUGGCCUAAUGGUAAGGCGUUGCUUUCCGGAGUGGAUCUGGCAAAGAUCGCGGGUUCGAAUCCCGUCGGUGUCG